This is a long non-coding RNA of Panthera uncia (snow leopard), 1022 nucleotides long. RefSeq lists it as uncharacterized. NCBI's taxonomy places the organism in Eukaryota, Metazoa, Chordata, Mammalia, Carnivora, Felidae. The transcript has 4 exons. The record is from RefSeq and is a predicted model, not a curated record.
GUCUCUGGGCUUGCCCUAGGGUUUCCGAACAGAAGCCCGCAGCUAGAGAUUCAAGCCCUGUACCUCCUCAUCAGUGUGCCAGGGCUGAAUGCCAGGAUGGGUGCCCAUCCCAGGGAAAAUGGCUUCAGUUUUAAACACCUGUCAUCUAAGCUCUUCCCCCUGCCCUCGUAAAAUCUGCCCGUUUGCUCUACAGACACCUCUUUUGUCAAAUCUUAAUUAGUGCCUGGGUGGCUGAGCCGUCCAUCCUCCAGAAAGUACCCCCCCCCACCCCAUCCCAUACCAGCCCCACCUUCCAUGUAUUUCCACAAUGACCAGUCAUCUUCACCGGUGUCCGGGAUUCCCCCAUGAUCAUGGAAUUUCACAGGAUUCAUGAUGUGCCAGAGCCCAGGGAAGACUUGAAACAAAUAGGAGGCAAGAACAGCUCCUUGAGGACCAACAUCACCAUCUCUUCUGCUUUGGAAAUGAACCAGAAGUAUUUAUCCCGUGGCCCUGGUUUCUCUGCCAACUCGAGGGCACACGUAGGGGCACGUUGAAAUGACCCAGGUCCUUCUGGAGUUCCCAAAUGUGGCUCGCGUGCAGUGGGCGGGGCCGGCUGAGACCCAGAGGCCACGGGAAUUGCUGCAGGAGGAGGUGCCAAGGGGCCGGGGUUGUUUCUGAGGUUGCUGUGCAGCAGCCUCAGCAUGCUCGAAGCUGGACGUUUCAUUCCUUCUUGGAAGACGAGGUCAUAAUUCAGUUGCAGUCAUCAUUUUCCAGUUCCUCUCUAAUAUUUAUGUGAAAACUCCUUUAGUUGGCUUCCUUGAUGCCUGUAAAUGUCAUCACCCUGGGGCGCCUGGGUGGCUCAGUCGGUUGAGCGUCCACCCUCGGCUCAGGUCACGAUCUCAUGGUUCAUGGGUUCGAGCCACGUGUCAGGCUCUGUGCUGACAGCUCGGAGUCUGGAGCCCGCUUUGGAUUCUGUGUCUCCCUCUCUAUGCCCCUCCCCCACUCAUGCUCUGUCUCUCUCUCUCUCUCUCUCUCAGAAAUAA